GAUGAACGCUGGCGGCGUGCCUAAUACAUGCAAGUCGAGCGAACAGAUGAGGAGCUUGCUCCUCUGACGUUAGCGGCGGACGGGUGAGUAACACGUGGAUAACCUACCUAUAAGACUGGGAUAACUUCGGGAAACCGGAGCUAAUACCGGAUAAUAUAUUGAACCGCAUGGUUCAAUAGUGAAAGACGGUUUUGCUGUCACUUAUAGAUGGAUCCGCGCCGCAUUAGCUAGUUGGUAAGGUAACGGCUUACCAAGGCAUCGAUGCGUAGCCGACCUGAGAGGGUGAUCGGCCACACUGGAACUGAGACACGGUCCAGACUCCUACGGGAGGCAGCAGUAGGGAAUCUUCCGCAAUGGGCGAAAGCCUGACGGAGCAACGCCGCGUGAGUGAUGAAGGUCUUCGGAUCGUAAAACUCUGUUAUUAGGGAAGAACAAAUGUGUAAGUAACUAUGCACGUCUUGACGGUACCUAAUCAGAAAGCCACGGCUAACUACGUG
RNAcentral lists this ribosomal RNA (497 nucleotides) under uncultured bacterium. RNAcentral's name for it is "partial 16S ribosomal RNA". It matches the Rfam family "Bacterial small subunit ribosomal RNA", at positions 28 to 507 of the family's 1533-position model. The record is from RNAcentral.